GAGUUUGAUCCUGGCUCAGAACGAACGCUGGCGGCAGGCCUAACACAUGCAAGUCGAGCGCGCCUUCGGGUGAGCGGCGGACGGGUUAGUAACGCGUGGGAACGUGCCCUUCUCUACGGAAUAGCCUCUGGAAACGGAGAGUAAUACCGUAUACGCCCUUUGGGGGAAAGAUUUAUCGGAGAAGGAUCGGCCCGCGUUAGAUUAGGUAGUUGGUGGGGUAACGGCCUACCAAGCCUACGAUCUAUAGCUGGUUUUAGAGGAUGAUCAGCAACACUGGGACUGAGACACGGCCCAGACUCCUACGGGAGGCAGCAGUGGGGAAUCUUAGACAAUGGGGGCAACCCUGAUCUAGCCAUGCCGCGUGAGUGAUGAAGGCCUUAGGGUCGUAAAGCUCUUUCGCCUGUGAUGAUAAUGACAGUAGCAGGUAAAGAAACCCCGGCUAACUCCGUGCCAGCAGCCGCGGUAAUACGGAGGGGGUUAGCGUUGUUCGGAAUUACUGGGCGUAAAGCGCGCGUAGGCGGAUUAGAAAGUUGGGGG
RNAcentral lists this ribosomal RNA (537 nucleotides) under uncultured bacterium. Its description in RNAcentral is "bacterial SSU rRNA". It matches the Rfam family "Bacterial small subunit ribosomal RNA", at positions 9 to 594 of the family's 1533-position model. The record is from RNAcentral.